Molecule: non-coding RNA, 446 nt
Organism: Erythranthe guttata (spotted monkey flower)
Lineage: Eukaryota; Viridiplantae; Streptophyta; Magnoliopsida; Lamiales; Phrymaceae
Source: RefSeq, a predicted model, not a curated record
CUUGGUUAUGUGUUCAAUUUCAAGUCAAGGGUAUAUGGAUUGGGAUGAUGAUUGGAGUUGUCACUGAAACAGUAGCACUUAGCUUCAUGACAUGGAAAACUAAUUGGAAUGAAGAGGUAUCGAUAUCUUCAGCUCGUCUGAAAAGAUGGUCCUCGAAAUCGAGGGAUGAUAAUAAGCAACAUUCUUGAUCAUGCUUCAGUUGGUGUUGUGGAAAUUAUUAUUAUUAUUAUUAUUAUUUCUGAAAAAUAAGUGCAUAUAAGUGAAUAAAAUAAUGGGUAAAUUACAAAAACCCCCUUGAACUUAGGCUAAAUAACAAAAAACACCCCUACGUAUACGUAAUUACCAAAAAACCCCUAGAGGUUUGUUACCGUCUCAUACCAAACCCCUUACUGUGUGACUUUUCGAGGAUUUUUUUUUUUUAAUUCCAGGGAAUAGACUUUACACAA